UUUAUUGGAGAGUUUGAUCCUGGCUCAGGAUGAACGCUGGCGGCGUGCCUAAUACAUGCAAGUCGAGCGAAUGGAUUAAGAGCUUGCUCUUAUGAAGUUAGCGGCGGACGGGUGAGUAACACGUGGGUAACCUGCCCAUAAGACUGGGAUAACUCCGGGAAACCGGGGCUAAUACCGGAUAACAUUUUGAACUGCAUGGUUCGAAAUUGAAAGGCGGCUUCGGCUGUCACUUAUGGAUGGACC
RNAcentral lists this ribosomal RNA (243 nucleotides) under Bacillus sp. BI3. Its description in RNAcentral is "partial 16S ribosomal RNA". It matches the Rfam family "Bacterial small subunit ribosomal RNA", at positions 1 to 231 of the family's 1533-position model. The record is from RNAcentral. Lineage: Bacteria; Bacillati; Bacillota; Bacilli; Caryophanales; Bacillaceae.